AGGACGAACGCUGGCGGCGUGCUCAACACAUGCAAGUCGAGCGGUAAGGCCUCUUCGGGGGUACACGAGCGGCGAACGGGUGAGUAACACGUGGGUGACCUGCCCUCAGCUCUGGGAUAAGCCUGGGAAACUGGGUCUAAUACUGGAUAUGACUGCGCAUCGCAUGGUGUGUGGUGGAAAGUUUUUUCGGCUGGGGAUGGGCCCGCGGCCUAUCAGCUUGUUGGUGGGGUGAUGGCCUACCGAAGGCGACGACGGGUA
RNAcentral lists this ribosomal RNA (258 nucleotides) under uncultured bacterium. RNAcentral's name for it is "partial small subunit ribosomal RNA". It matches the Rfam family "Bacterial small subunit ribosomal RNA", at positions 26 to 285 of the family's 1533-position model. The record is from RNAcentral.